Molecule: ribosomal RNA, 484 nt
Filed under: uncultured bacterium
Lineage: Bacteria
Description: partial 16S ribosomal RNA
Rfam family: Bacterial small subunit ribosomal RNA
Source: RNAcentral
AUUGAACGCUGGCGGUAUGCUUUACACAUGCCAGUCGAGCGGCAGCGCGGCCUUCGGGCUGUCUGCGGGCGGCGAACGGGUGAGUAAUGCAUCGGAACAUGCCCAGUCGCGUUGGAUAACACUUCGAAAGAGGUGCUAAUACCGCAUACGUCCUGAGGGGGAAAGCGGGGGAUCGCAAGACCUCGCGCGAUUGGGGUGGCCGAUGUCAGAUUAGCUAGUUGGUGGGGUAAAGGCCUACCAAGGCGACGAUCUGUAGCUGGUCUGAGAGGAUGAUCAGCCACACUGGGACUGAGACACGGCCCAGACUCCUACGGGAGGCAGCAGUGGGGAAUUUUGGACAAUGGGGGCAACCCUGAUCCAGCCAUUCCGCGUGAGUGAAGAAGGCCUUCGGGUUGUAAAGCUCUUUCGGCAGGAAAGAAACGGUGGGCUCUAACAUAGUCCGCUAAUGACGGUACCUGAAGAAGAAGCACCGGCUAACUACGUG